CCAUUACUUUUGGUGUUUUAGUCAUGAAGUCCUUGCCUGUGCCUAUGUCCUGAAUGGUAUUGCCUAGGUUUUCUUCUAGGGUUUUUAUGGUUUUAGGUCUAACAUUUAAGUCUUCAAUCCAUCUUGAAUUAAUUUUUAUAUAAGGUGUAAGGAAGGGAUCCAGUUUCAGCUUUCUACUUAUGGCCAGCCAGUUUUCCCAGCACCAUUUAUUAAACAGGGAAUCCUUUCCCUAUUUCUUGUUUUUGUCAGGUUUGUCAAAGAUCAGAUGGUUGUAGAUGUGUGGUGUUAUUUCUGAGGCCUCUGUUCUGUUCCACUGGUCUAUAUCUCUGUUUUGGUACCAGUACCAUGCUGUUUUGGUUACAGUAGCCUUGUAGUAUAGUUUGAAGUCAGGUAGCAUGAUGCCUCCAGCGUUGUUCUUUUUGCUUAGGAUUGUCUUGCCUAUAUGGGCUCUUUUUUGGUUCCAUAUGAACUUUAAAGUAGUUUUUUCCAGUUCUGUGAAGAAAGUCAUUGGUAGCUUGAUGGGGAUGGCAUUGAAUCUAUAAAUUACCUUGGGCAGUAUGGCCAUUUUCAUGAGGGACCCAGCCUCCGACAGUCCAUUCUGGGUGUUGGCAGAGAAUCCUCAGCUAUCCUGUUGCAAAACUCUCCUUCCUUUUCUAUCCUCGGUCUCAUACUCUUUCUCUGUGUGAAAUGUGCAGGGAUUUGUAGAGCCUAGAAAAGUAAUCCUGUUAGGCAAGAUCAGGAAAAUGUCGUUGCAAUCUUCUAGGAACAGAGUUCUUCCCUUUCCUCUGUGGUGAGGUUUCUUGCUACCACACCGCUGGUGAGCACACAAUAUUUCUAAGCCAACACCACCACCUAGUGGAAAUAGACAUCCUCUACAUGAGGCACAUUUUUUUUUCACAGCAAUACCGCAGCUUCCUUUUGCACCAUUAGAAAUCAGACUCGGCCGGGCGUGGUGGUUCAUGCCUGUAAUCCAGCACUUUGGGAGGCUGAGGCG
This 994-nucleotide long non-coding RNA is filed under the name Homo sapiens (human). RNAcentral's name for it is "HSALNT0046501". The record is from RNAcentral. Lineage: Eukaryota; Metazoa; Chordata; Mammalia; Primates; Hominidae.